GUCAGGCAUAGAUCUAAAUCAGAUUUGUUAAGCAUUUAUAUCAAUAUAUAAAAUAGAGAGAGAUGAUCUCACACCUUGUGUGGGUAGAUGAACACCGUAAUUUGUAUACUGUGGAUUUGAAGGAGGUUCAUUUGUGAAGCCGCGCACAUAUCCGACUUCUAUAGAUAUCCACUAAGAUCAACCUUGGAUCGUUCUUCUACUAAGUCUUUCUGGAUCCUUUAUCAACACUUGAUCCUCUUCCCCAC
This 245-nucleotide long non-coding RNA is filed under the name Elaeis guineensis (African oil palm). RNAcentral describes it as "long non-coding RNA (EGUI_LNC057232)". Lineage: Eukaryota; Viridiplantae; Streptophyta; Magnoliopsida; Arecales; Arecaceae. The record is from RNAcentral.